GCUCUCGGCCGCCAUUGGUCAGGGGGCGGGGCCGCGUGCCGCACGGAAAAGCUGGAAGCCCGGGGCAAAGGUCACGGCGGCAGGUGUGGAAAAAACACCUGGAGAGUGAUUUUGUCUGCUACGAAAUAAAAACCAAGGCACUCUGCAUACAGGCCCCAGUCCUCCAUAGUCACGUGCUAAGGAUUGAUUCUGCCGAAGAGUGGAAUGACUGAUGGAAGAAAGGAUACCAAAAAGUCAACAUCACAACAUUAAUCUUUGAUUCCAGUUAAUCUGGAACAGUCAAAUCAAUGAAUUAUAUUGCCACUGGGUGACUGCAAAAGAAAGAUUUGGAUUUAUAAAGCUCCUUUCAUGACCACUGGACUUGCCAGAGCACUUUACAGCCAAGGCACUACUUUUGAAGUGUUGUCACUGUCAUCAUGUAAGAAAUGCAGCAGUUUGCGUGCAGCAAAUUUACACAAACAGCAAUGUGAUAAUGACCAGACAAUCUGAUUUUGUCAUGUUUAUUGAGGAAUAAGGAUUAGCCAGGUAACUGGAGAUGACUCCCCUUCUUCUUUGAAAGAGUGCUGUGUGUCCACCUGAGAAAGCAGACAAGACCCUGGUUUAACUACUGACUCAAAAGUUGGUACCUCUGACAGCGCAGCACUCCAUCAACCUAGAUUUUUGUGUUCAAGUCCUGGUGCAAAAAUACUUUGAGAUUAUGUGAGCGAUUUUAACUGAGUUAAAAUCACCCUCCCCAUUUGAAUUGUUUACAGAGUUAUGAGAAAAGGAGGAAAUUAUCUCAACUCCACAGGCAUGGAGAUUAGCGAGGUGCCUGAUUUCUUAAUCUCACAGAUCACCAAGACUCCACCAGGCUGGUUACAUUUUUUUUUUGCAAUUUGGAACCUGUCUUUCUACAAUAUGGAUACUCCAGAUAAAGUUUUAAAGAAGGAUUUUCCAGUGCAUUUAAUCCUUACCUGAACACUGAUCGAAAGAUGUUUAGAGUUCAGGUUGCAUCUGCAAAUAAUCAUCUGAUUCAAAGUUACUAUGAGAAAUGAGUUCAGCUGCCUCUCAAAACCUUUCCUGUGCAGACUGCUUCUGGUUCCUGUUGGAGGUUCAAACAAUAAUUUGUUGCUCUAGUCUACUUCCAUGCAAUUCAUCUGUAUUUAGCAAGAUAAGCAGAAAUUUUCACAACUUUCAUUGUAGGUAGUUCCUGUUUAUGCAACAGAAAAUGUUAAGAGUUUUGUUUAUGGAACCAUUUCAGUGGCUGGGCAAUGUUGGUGAUAAGUCAGCCUUCUCACUUCACUUACAAUUCAGAAGCUUUACCUUUUCUAGUCACAGAGCCUUUGCUAUCUUUCCUCAAUAGACUUACAGCACAUCAUCAUUUAGAAUCCUGUGGCAUAAUUAUUCCGAGUUUUCUUGCAACAUACAACCAGCUCUCUUCCAAAUAAAAAAUACUUAGACAUGAAAUGCAAAA
This is a long non-coding RNA of Carcharodon carcharias (great white shark), 1453 nucleotides long. RefSeq lists it as uncharacterized. The transcript is spliced from 3 exons. The record is from RefSeq and is a predicted model, not a curated record. NCBI's taxonomy places the organism in Eukaryota, Metazoa, Chordata, Chondrichthyes, Lamniformes, Lamnidae.